Molecule: non-coding RNA, 223 nt
Organism: Pelobates cultripes (western spadefoot toad)
Lineage: Eukaryota; Metazoa; Chordata; Amphibia; Anura; Pelobatidae
Source: the annotation of a GenBank genome assembly
GAGCCUAAGUAAGUCAAUUCCGUAUCUGUCCAUUUAUAUCUAUAUGUAGAUUGGAGCUUAUGUUUAACUCGUGGGUCUAUUCCCAACCCCAGAAUCUCACAUUUGUCCGUAUUAAUUUGAAAUUGGAGCACACGCUGAAUUUGUCUAUUUCUGCUACUAUGUGUGGUAGGGAAUGUGUCGGGUUGGUAAAGGUGAGCAGGAUGUCAUCUGCGAAAGCGGAGAC